CCUACGCGUACGCAGCAGUGGGGAAUAUUGGACAAUGGGCGAAAGCCUGAUCCAGCCAUGCCGCGUGUGUGAAGAAGGCCUUCGGGUUGUAAAGCACUUUCAGUGGGGAAGAAAGCCUUGGGGCUAAUACCCUCGAGGAAGGACAUCACCCACAGAAGAAGCACCGGCUAACUCCGUGCCAGCAGCCGCGGUAAUACGGAGGGUGCGAGCGUUAAUCGGAAUUACUGGGCGUAAAGCGCGCGUAGGCGGUCUGAUAAGCCGGUUGUGAAAGCCCCUGGCUCAACCUGGGAACGGCAUCCGGAACUGUCAGGCUAGAGUGCAGGAGAGGAAGGUAGAAUUCCCGGUGUAGCGGUGAAAUGCGUAGAGAUCGGGAGGAAUACCAGUGGCGAAGGCGGCCUUCUGGACUGACACUGACGCUGAGGUGCGAAAGCGUGGGUAGCAAACAGGAUUAGAUACCCUGGUAGUC
RNAcentral lists this ribosomal RNA (466 nucleotides) under Vreelandella stevensii. Its description in RNAcentral is "partial 16S ribosomal RNA". It matches the Rfam family "Bacterial small subunit ribosomal RNA", at positions 338 to 795 of the family's 1533-position model. Lineage: Bacteria; Pseudomonadati; Pseudomonadota; Gammaproteobacteria; Oceanospirillales; Halomonadaceae. The record is from RNAcentral.